AUUGAACGCUGGCGGCAGGCCUAACACAUGCAAGUCGUGCGAGCGGCGGACGGGUGAGUAAUGUAUGUGGAUCUGCCUGAUGGAGGGGGAUAACUACUGGAAACGGUAGCUAAUACCGCAUACCAUCAGAUGUACCCAUAUGGGAUUAGCUAGUAGGUGAGGUAACGGCUCACCUAGGCGACGAUCCCUAGCUGGUCUGAGAGGAUGAUCAGCCACACUGGGACGGAGACACGGCCCAGACUCCUACGGGAGGAAGCAGUGGGGAAUAUUGGACAAUGGGCGCAAGCCGGAGGCAGCCAUGCCGCGUGUAUGAAGAAGGCCUUCGGGUUGUAAAGUACUUUCAGUCGGGAGGCGUUACCGACAGAAGAAGCACCGGCUAAAAAAGUGCCAGCAGCCGCGGUAAUUC
This 406-nucleotide ribosomal RNA is filed under the name uncultured bacterium. Its description in RNAcentral is "partial 16S ribosomal RNA". It matches the Rfam family "Bacterial small subunit ribosomal RNA", at positions 30 to 526 of the family's 1533-position model. The record is from RNAcentral.